GACGAACCGUGCAAACGUUAUUCGGAAUCACUGGGCAUAAAGGGCGCGUAGGCGGCUUGACAAGUCAGGGGUGAAAUCCGGCAGCUUAACUGUCGCAGUGCCUUUGAUACUGUCGAGCUCGAGGGAGGUAGGGGUCUGUGGAACUUCCGGUGGAGCGGUGAAAUGCGUUGAUAUGCGGAGGAACACCGAUGGCGAAGGCAAUCCCCUGGGCCUGCACUGACGCUCAUGCACGAAAGCGUGGGGAGCAAACAGG
This 253-nucleotide ribosomal RNA is filed under the name uncultured bacterium. RNAcentral's name for it is "partial 16S ribosomal RNA". It matches the Rfam family "Bacterial small subunit ribosomal RNA", at positions 524 to 776 of the family's 1533-position model. The record is from RNAcentral.